GGCGAGGUUGCUUCGGUAACUGAGCUAGCGGCGGACGGGUGAGUAAUGCUUAGGAAUCUGCCUAUUAGUGGGGGACAACAUUCCGAAAGGGAUGCUAAUACCGCAUACGUCCUACGGGAGAAAGCAGGGGCUCUUUAUGACCUUGCGCUAAUAGAUGAGCCUAAGUCGGAUUAGCUAGUUGGUGGGGUAAAGGCCUACCAAGGCGACGAUCUGUAGCGGGUCUGAGAGGAUGAUCCGCCACACUGGGACUGAGACACGGCCCAGACUCCUACGGGAGGCAGCAGUGGGGAAUAUUGGACAAUGGGGGGAACCCUGAUCCAGCCAUGCCGCGUGUGUGAAGAAGGCCUUUUGGUUGUAAAGCACUUUAAGUGGGGAGGAGGCUUACCUGGUUAAUACCUGGGCUAAGUGGACGUUACCCACAGAAUAAGCACCGGCUAACUCUGUGCCAGCAGCCGCGGUAAUACAGAGGGUGCGAGCGUUAAUCGGAUUUACUGGGCGUAAAGCGCGCGUAGGUGGUUAAUUAAGUCAAAUGUGAAAUCCCCGAGCUUAACUUGGGAAUUGCAUUCGAUACUGGUUAGCUAG
This 582-nucleotide ribosomal RNA is filed under the name Acinetobacter sp. HPC277. RNAcentral describes it as "bacterial SSU rRNA". It matches the Rfam family "Bacterial small subunit ribosomal RNA", at positions 68 to 644 of the family's 1533-position model. The record is from RNAcentral. Lineage: Bacteria; Pseudomonadati; Pseudomonadota; Gammaproteobacteria; Moraxellales; Moraxellaceae.